This 244-nucleotide unclassified non-coding RNA is filed under the name Glomeraceae sp. RNAcentral describes it as "partial contains 5.8S ribosomal RNA and internal transcribed spacer 2". The stretch from base 1 to 71 matches the Rfam family "5.8S ribosomal RNA", at positions 84 to 154 of the family's 154-position model. The record is from RNAcentral. Lineage: Eukaryota; Fungi; Glomeromycota; Glomeromycetes; Glomerales; Glomeraceae.
GUGAAUCAUCGAAUUUUUGAACGCAAAUUGCGCUUCCUGGCAUCCCGGAAAGUAUGCCUGUUUGAGGGUCAGUAUUAUUAUAAAAUCGGGGUAGGUACAAAUUGUGACGUUUCCGGAGUGGGGGCUAUCGGAACAUUUUUUGUUAAGAGGCUUAAAAUUGAACUUUUUUUCGCAUGUUUAAACGGACAUAAAUUUUUUGUAAUCGUGUAUGCUUAAGGCCAAAAUCUUAUCAGUUGCGAGCAGA